RNAcentral lists this unclassified non-coding RNA (3248 nucleotides) under Acyrthosiphon pisum (pea aphid). RNAcentral describes it as "coatomer subunit beta', transcript variant X2". Lineage: Eukaryota; Metazoa; Arthropoda; Insecta; Hemiptera; Aphididae. The record is from RNAcentral.
AGACACCACCGCAGACGACAACAUUCAGAUUUCGGGGUACGCCACACUCAUUACACGAAUGCAGAUUAUAAUUUUAAUAUUUUAAACCUGUAUAUGUUAUUCUCUGAACGAUAAAAUACUUCACACGAAUAUUCGAUCGGUUGGAUGUUCUGAGGCUUUAAUUUUAAAACCUUAAAUAUGCCUUUACGUUUAGAUAUAAAGCGUAAGCUGACUGCUCGGUCGGAUCGUGUCAAGUGCGUGGACCUCCAUCCCAAAGAGCCAUGGAUGUUGGCAUCAUUAUACAAUGGCACUGUUCAUAUAUGGAACCAUGAAACAGCUACACUCAUUAAAUCAUACGAAGUAUGUGAACUACCUGUUAGAGCAGCUCGAUUUGUUGCUCGAAAAAAUUGGAUUGUCACUGGUUCAGAUGAUAUGCAAUUGCGUGUAAUCAACUAUAACACUUUGGAGCGUGUUCAUCAACUAGAUGCACAUUCUGAUUAUUUACGAAGUAUUGCUGUUCAUCCUUCCCAACCUUUUAUACUUACUAGUAGUGAUGACAUGUUGAUAAAACUCUGGAAUUGGGAAAAACAAUGGGCUUGUCAACAAGUUUUUGAAGGACAUACACAUUAUGUGAUGCAGAUUAUAAUUAACCCUAAAGAUAACAAUACUUUUGCCAGUGCUUCGUUAGAUCGAACUGUUAAAGUGUGGCAACUUGGUUCUUCAACUCCAAAUUUUACUUUAGAAGGACAUGAAAAGGGAGUGAAUUGUGUUGACUACUAUCAUGCUGGAGAUAAACCUUAUUUGAUAUCUGGUGCUGACGAUAGACUUGUUAAAAUUUGGGAUUACCAAAAUAAAACAUGUGUUCAGACAUUAGAAGGCCAUGCUCAAAAUAUUUCAGCUGUUUGUUUCCAUCCAGAACUUCCGAUUGUUCUAACUGGCUCAGAAGACGGUACAGUCAGAAUUUGGCAUUCCGGUACUUAUCGGUUAGAAUCAUCAUUAAAUUAUGGUUUAGAACGUGUAUGGACAAUCUGUUGCUUACGGGGAUCUAAUAAUGUAGCUUUAGGUUAUGAUGAAGGUAGUAUAAUGGUUAAAGUUGGUCGUGAAGAGCCAGCAAUGUCGAUGGAUGUUCAUGGUGGUAAAAUUGUUUGGGCUCGUCAUAGUGAAAUUCAACAAGCUAACCUUAAAGCAAUGCUUCAAGCAGAAGGAACCGAAACCAAAGAUGGUGAACGUUUACCCAUACAAGUUAAGGACAUGGGUAGCUGUGAAAUUUAUCCACAAUCAAUAUCUCAUAAUCCAAAUGGUAGAUUUUUAGUAGUAUGUGGUGAUGGAGAGUAUAUUAUAUAUACAUCAAUGGCUUUACGUAAUAAAGCAUUUGGCUCCGCUCAGGAUUUUGUAUGGUCUUCUGAUUCUGAGUAUGCAAUAAGAGAAAAUUCUUCUACAAUCAAAGUCUUUAAGAAUUUUAAAGAAAAAAAAUCUUUUAAACCAGAAGGUGGAGCCGAUGGUAUUUUUGGAGGUUAUUUGUUAGGUGUGAAAUCUGUUACUGGGUUGGCUUUAUAUGAUUGGGAAAAUGGUAACUUAGUACGAAGGAUUGAGACUCAACCUAAACAUGUAUUUUGGUCAGAGUCAGGAGAAUUAGUGUGUCUUGCUACUGAUGAAGCAUACUUUAUAUUACGUUUUGACGUCAAUGUACUUAGUGCUGCAAGAGCAUCCAAUUAUGAAGCUGCUAGUCCUGAUGGCCUUGAAGAUGCCUUUGAGAUUUUAGGAGAAGUUCAAGAAGUUGUGAAAACUGGUCUAUGGGUUGGUGAUUGCUUUAUAUACACCAAUGGCGUAAACCGUAUCAACUAUUAUGUUGGUGGAGAAAUUGUCACUGUGUCUCAUCUUGACCGCACAAUGUAUCUCUUAGGAUAUGUUGCUAAAGAAAAUCGACUCUACUUAGGUGAUAAGGAACUUAACAUUGUUUCUUAUAGCCUUCUUUUAUCUGUAUUGGAAUACCAAACUGCAGUCAUGAGGAAGGAUUUUGAAAUUGCUGAUCGCAUACUACCAUCAGUGCCAUCCCAAUAUAGAACCCGUGUUGCUCAUUUCUUAGAAAAGCAGGGUUAUAAGAAACAAGCAUUGUCAGUAUCAACAGAUGUUGAGCAUAAAUUUGAAUUGGCAAUCCAAUUACAAGACUUAGCUAAAGCACAUUCACUUGCAAAGGAAGCAUCUAGUCCUCAAAAAUGGAGACAACUUUCCGAAUUAGCUACCGCACAAGCUAAUCUUGAAUUAGCACAAGAAUGUCUUCAUCAGGCUCAAGAUUAUGGUGGACUACUUUUGUUAGCUACAUCUUCUGGUAAUAGUGAAAUGGUAAAAAAAUUAGCUGAAAGUACUAACUCAAACGGCAAAAAUAAUAUAUCAUUUCUGUCUUAUUUACUUUUGGGCGAUUUAGACAAAUGUUUACAAUUAUUAAUAGAAACUGAUAGAUUGCCAGAAGCAGCAUUUUUUGCUCGGUCAUAUUUACCAAGCAAAAUGUCAUAUAUUGUUGGAUUGUGGAAAGAUUCAUUAAGCAAAACUAAUGUGAAAGCUAGUGAAUCAUUAGCAAAUCCAGAUGAAUAUGAAAACUUAUUCCCGCACUACCAGGAAUCAUUAAAAACAGAAGUGUUUUUACAAGCUGAAAGGAAAAGGCAAUUACCAGCUGCUGCGUAUGCUAAUACUCCAUUGAAUCAUGAAAGAAAUUGUUUAGAAGAAAUGAAAGCAGCUGAAACUCAAGAACCAAGUUUUAAUUUAAAUGAACAAAUUGCUAAUAUUAAAGCUGAAGUCUUACAAUCCAGCUAUGUAGAUAAGAAACAAGAGGACAACAUUUUACCGCCACCAUUAAUUCCUAUGAAAAUAGUAGAUGAUUUUGAAGAUGUGGAUAAAGAAUUAGAAGAAGAGCUAGAAAAUAUGAACUUGGAUGAUAUAGAAUCAACGGGCAUUAAUAUUGAUGCGGAAUUAUCUGAUGAUGACGAUGAUGAUGACGAUUAUUCUUGAAUAAAUAAAUGUAUAGUAUAAUAUAUUUGUAAUAUUCUUUGGUAAUAUAUUUGGUGAAUGCAUUUAAUUUCUUGUACAGUAUUAAGUCUCAAAAUUGUUGACACCAAGAGUAUUUGCACAAUGAUAAAAUGUUAUAUUACUCUAACAUAAUGUAAUAUAAAUAAGUAUAUACAAUUUUAUAUUAUAUUAUUAUACUGUUACAUACUUACUAUACUUGUGUGUUUAUAGUGUGAAAAUAUAUUUCAAUAUUUGUUUUUAUUUUA